ACUCAAAGGAAUAGACGGGGGCCCGCACAAGCGGUGGAGCAUGUGGUUUAAUUCGACGCAACGCGCAGAACCUUACCAGCCCUUGACAUGGUGGUUAAAGCCGGUGAGAGCCGGUGUCCCGCAAGGGGGCCAUCACAGGUGCUGCAUGGCUGUCGUCAGCUCGUGUCGUGAGAUGUUGGGUUAAGUCCCGCAACGAGCGCAACCCUUACCUUUAGUUGCCAACGGGUUUGGCCGGGCACUCUAGAGGGACUGCCGGUGACAAGCCGGAGGAAGGUGGGGAUGACGUCAAGUCCUCAUGGCCCUUACGGGCUGGGCUACACACGUGCUACAAUGGCAGUGACAGUGGGCAGCGAAGGGGCGACCCCGAGCUAAUCUCCAAAAACUGCCUCAGUUCGGAUUGCAGGCUGCAACUCGCCUGCAUGAAGGUGGAAUCGCUAGUAAUCGCGGAUCAGCACGCCGCGGUGAAUACGUUCCCGGGCCUUGUACACACCGCCCGU
Molecule: ribosomal RNA, 497 nt
Filed under: uncultured bacterium
Lineage: Bacteria
Description: partial 16S ribosomal RNA
Rfam family: Bacterial small subunit ribosomal RNA
Source: RNAcentral